Long non-coding RNA from Cebus imitator (Panamanian white-faced capuchin), 795 nucleotides. RefSeq lists it as uncharacterized. The record is from RefSeq and is a predicted model, not a curated record. Lineage: Eukaryota; Metazoa; Chordata; Mammalia; Primates; Cebidae. The transcript has 2 exons.
AGAUAAUAUUAGUCUCUCACUGAGGCCACCCAGGCUGUAGCGCAGUGGCACCAUCAUAUCUUUGAUACAGCCUUUAUCUUUCCUAUUCAAACCCACUUCUAGAAGCUGUCCACCAACUCUCACCUUCUAAAUUCAUGGAACAAGAAUCACAUAGUGAAGACUCGAUCACAAAAACAAGAGGAGCAAUAAUUUCAACUUGCUUGUAUGUUCAUCUAGGACACAGCUGAAAACUACCAUUUAGAAACUGUGGCCCACCCAGAACACCACCAAAUCCAAGCUGGAGAAUACUUUAUGAUGGCAAUGCUUGAUAUCUACUUAACCUCAUUUGUGUCCUAUUAUAUAAAGACACGAUAACGGUUUAGAGAUAAAGAAAAUAAAGCAGAAGGAACAAAGCAGUCCAGUGUGAGGAUGAAUACUGCAGAUGGGAAUAUAAGUAUAAGGCAGACACAUUUAUAAGCAUUAAAAGCUGUAAGGAAGUAUUUUGCUUUCAUUUAUGUGUCUUGAUGUCCUUCAUAUUCUCAGCAUCAGCUUGAUAUUUCAGUGUGAUAUACAGUACUGCAAAUAACAUCUUUGGUGUACUAUACACGUCGUUUUCACUUACACAAAACAUGAUAUGGAACACUUCCUGAAACAGAAUGGUGACUUAAAUCAAGGCCCACAGCUGAAUAGCUGGUACUUCCCUGGAAGAAUCUGGCUUUGAACUAGGAGAAAACUACAACCAGGGUGGCUCAUGAGAAUUAUAAGAAGUAGGGUAGAACCCAUAGUAAUCAAAAUCACAAUAAAGACACUACAGUA